AACCUAGCACACCUGCGGUGUGUACCUGCGGAGGGAUCAUUACCGAGUUUACAAACUCCCAACCCUUUGUGAACCUUACCAUAUUGUUGCUUCGGCGGGACCGCCCCGGCGCCUUCGGGCCCGGAACCAGGCGCCCGCCGGAGGCCCCAAACUCUUAUGUCUUUAGUGGUUUUCUCCUCUGAGUGACACAUAAACAAAUAAAUAGAAACUUUUAACAAUGGAUCUCAGAUCGGAAGAGCA
RNAcentral lists this unclassified non-coding RNA (240 nucleotides) under soil metagenome. RNAcentral's name for it is "partial contains 5.8S ribosomal RNA, internal transcribed spacer 2, and large subunit ribosomal RNA". The record is from RNAcentral.